GUUAGUUGCCAUCAUUCAGUUGGGCACUCUAGCGAGACUGCCGGUAAUAAACCGGAGGAAGUGGGGAUGACGUCAAAUCAUCAUGCCCCUUAUGACCUGGGCUACACACGUGCUACAAUGGUUGGUACAACGAGUUGCGAGUCGGUGACGGCGAGCUAAUCUCUUAAAGCCAAUCUCAGUUCGGAUUGUAGGCUGCAACUCGCCUACAUGAAGCCGGAAUCGCUAGUAAUCGCGGAUCAGCAUGCCGCGGUGAAUACGUUCCCGGGCCUU
Molecule: ribosomal RNA, 270 nt
Filed under: uncultured Streptococcus sp.
Lineage: Bacteria; Bacillati; Bacillota; Bacilli; Lactobacillales; Streptococcaceae
Description: partial 16S ribosomal RNA
Rfam family: Bacterial small subunit ribosomal RNA
Source: RNAcentral